This 460-nucleotide ribosomal RNA is filed under the name uncultured bacterium. RNAcentral describes it as "partial 16S ribosomal RNA". It matches the Rfam family "Bacterial small subunit ribosomal RNA", at positions 338 to 795 of the family's 1533-position model. The record is from RNAcentral.
CCUACGGGGGGCAGCAGUGAGGAAUAUUGGUCAAUGGGCUUACGCCUGAACCAGCCAAGUCGCGUGAGGGAAGACUGCCCUAUGGGUUGUAAACCUCUUUUGUCAGGGAGCAAUUGGCGCUACGUGUAGCGUUAUCGAGAGUACCUGAAGAAAAAGCAUCGGCAAACUCCGUGCCAGCAGCCGCGGUAAUACGGGGGAUGCGAGGGUUAUCCGGAUUUAUUGGGUUUAAGGGGUGCGUAGGCGGAAUGCCAAUCCAGCGGGAAAAUCGCGGGGCUCAACCUCGCUCCGCCGUUGAAACUGGCGUUCUUGAGUGGGCGAGAAGUAUGCGGAAUGCGUGGUGUAGCGGUGAAAUGCAUAGAUAUCACGCAGAACUCCGAUUGCGAAGGCAGCAUACCGGCGCCCAACUGACGCUGAAGCACGAAAGCGUGGGUAUCGAACAGGAUUAGAUACCCCGGUAGUC